UCAGAUGAUGGACGUCUCAAAGAUAUCCUUUAUUUUACUGUUAGUAGCAUGGAGCGUACAGGGCGAUGCUGAAAGUCUCGCCUCGCUCUCUGGAGGGCAAGAGCCCGAGACCCGAGUGGUGGGUGGCAAAGUCGCACCCGAAGGCCUUGUGCCACAUCAAGUCGCUCUUAAAAAAAAAGACGGCUGGACUUUCUGCGGUGGUGCUGUCAUCUCCGACAGAUGGAUACUGACAGCUGCCCAUUGUGUCGAAGAGUAAUAACAUAUACAUAUUGUGUUAACUGAGCUAAUUCAAGAGUACAUGAUGAGCCGUUUUUUGUCUGAGUUUUUAAAACUAUACGUAAUAAGUUUGAAUUUUUUUGAGUCUAAAACUAUCAAAGUUUACCGCUGUAGUUGGUACAUUAUCGAGAACGAAAGGUGGCACAACGUAUGAAAUAAGCAAAGUCAUUUCUCACAAAGAACAUAACAAGCCAUAUAGAUACAACAACGAUAUUGCUGUUAUAAGUACGAAAAAGGCCAUCGAAUUCAAUAAAAAGGUUCAGCCUCUGCCAUUACCCACAAAGGAUAUCAAGGAUGGAUUGUCGUGUAUACUAAGCGGCUGGGGUCGACUAGGGUAUAAGCGGCCAUCGCCUGAUAAAUUACAGUAUCUGUAUGUAAGAACUUUAACCAGCGUCCAGUGUUAUAAGCACUUUAAUCACCGCUCCCCAAUCACUAUAAAUUCCAACCAGAUGUGUACCCUUAACAAACGUGGAGAAGGAACAUGCGAAGGUGAUUCAGGCGGCAGCUUAGUGUGCAACGGCACCUCAGCCGGUGUCGUGUCCUUCAACUGGCCCUGCGCUAAUAAUUUCCCUGACACGUACGCCAACACGUACAAGUACAACUCCUGGAUAAAAAAAAAUACUAAAUCACCCUGAUUUGUCAUUCAUAAUUUUUUUAUUAAUUUCGUCGUAAAAACCCAGGCUCUGGACUGGACUUGUUUUGAAUAUAUAUUUAAACUACUCACCUUAAACAAACUCAUUUAAUUCAAUACUAGGAGGACGAAGAACGGGACGAGAAGAAUAAAGAUGAGGACUUUCUGUAAAUAAAUAUAUAACGA
This is a long non-coding RNA of Pieris napi, 1093 nucleotides long. RefSeq lists it as uncharacterized. The transcript has 4 exons. The record is from RefSeq and is a predicted model, not a curated record. Lineage: Eukaryota; Metazoa; Arthropoda; Insecta; Lepidoptera; Pieridae.